ACUGAAAAAGUCCAUCAGCAAAGUCAGUUUUGCGUGCUUGUGUAUGUCAGCCCCCCACCCCCACCCCUUUUCCUUCCUCUUCUGUUUUCUCUGCACUUCCUCCUCCUCCGAGCAUCUUCGACACGCUAGGCUACCCGGCUGCUAGGAGCGCAGAUCUGGUGGGCCUGGUGGUUCCUGUUCGCACGACCCACGGCGCCGCGCGGUCGACACAGCACCGAGGGGCCCCGAAGGCAAUCCGGGGCCGCAGACGAGGCGAGCCCUCGCCUUUGAGAGCACGGAGUCGCAUCUCUUGGAUGUUGGGGGAGGUAAACUUUUCCAGUCCAGGAAUGGGGUCCAGCGGGAACCGAAAGUCGUCAGACAACCUCUUUCCCUGUCACCUAGGCUCAGGCAAGCAAGUACUUGGACUUGGGGCAAUUAGGUGCUCCGGUGGAACCCAAAAGAAAUGUAAGAACUAAAAACAACGAAGCAGAAGCCCUAGGAAGCCUCACGGAGGAUGGUUUCUACUCGCCUGUCCCUGAACUCUGCUCUCCUCGGGGGUGGCAUACCCCUCCGCCCCAAGACCCUACCUCCCAAACCCCCCCCCCCCCCCGCCCCGCCGCCGGACUCGCGCGCGCGCGCGCGCACACACAC
This is a long non-coding RNA of Herpailurus yagouaroundi (jaguarundi), 630 nucleotides long. RefSeq lists it as uncharacterized. The transcript is spliced from 3 exons. Lineage: Eukaryota; Metazoa; Chordata; Mammalia; Carnivora; Felidae. The record is from RefSeq and is a predicted model, not a curated record.